This 503-nucleotide ribosomal RNA is filed under the name uncultured bacterium. RNAcentral describes it as "partial 16S ribosomal RNA". It matches the Rfam family "Bacterial small subunit ribosomal RNA", at positions 30 to 523 of the family's 1533-position model. The record is from RNAcentral.
AUUGAACGCUGGCGGCAGGCUUAACACGUGCAAGUCGAGCGGGGUGAUGGUGCUUGCACUAUCACUUAGCGGCGGACGGGUGAGUAAUGCUUAGGAAUCUGCCUAUUAGUGGGGGACAACAUCUCGAAAGGGAUGCUAAUACCGUAUACGUCCUACGGGAGAAAGCAGGGGAUCACUUGUGACCUUGCGCUAAUAGAUGAGCCUAAGUCGGAUUAGCUAGUUGGUGGGGUAAAGGCCUACCAAGGCGACGAUCUGUAGCGGGUCUGAGAGGAUGAUCCGCCACACUGGGACUGAGACACGGCCCAGACUCCUACGGGAGGCAGCAGUGGGGAAUAUUGGACAAUGGGGGGAACCCUGAUCCAGCCAUGCCGCGUGUGUGAAGAAGGCCUUAUGGUUGUAAAGCACUUUAAGCGAGGAGGAGGCUCUUUUGGUUAAUACCCAAGAUGAGUGGACGUUACUCGCAGAAUAAGCACCGGCUAACUCUGUGCCAGCAGCCGCUGUAA